UAAGGAAUAUUGGUCAAUGGACGCAAGUCUGAACCAGCCAUGCCGCGUGAAGGAUGAAGGUCCUCUGGAUUGAAAACUUCUUUUAUCUGGGACGAAAACGGGAUAUUUAUCUCAAUUGACGGUAGCAGAGGAAUAAGCACCGGCUAAAUCCGUGCCAGCAGCCGCGGUAAUACGGAGGGUGCGAGCGUUAUCCGGAUUUACUGGGUUUAAAGGGUGCGUAGGUGGGCUUAUAAGUCAGUGGUGAAAUCUCCGAGCUUAACUUGGAAACUGCCGUUGAUACGAGAGGUCUUGAAUUAUCUGGAGGUAAGCGGAAUAUGUCAUGUAGCGGUGAAAUGCUUAGAUAUGACAUAGAACACCAAUUGCGAAGGCAGCUUACUACAUAUAAAUUGACGCUGAGGCACGAAAGCGUGGGGAUCAAACA
RNAcentral lists this ribosomal RNA (421 nucleotides) under uncultured bacterium. RNAcentral's name for it is "bacterial SSU rRNA". It matches the Rfam family "Bacterial small subunit ribosomal RNA", at positions 355 to 774 of the family's 1533-position model. The record is from RNAcentral.